RNAcentral lists this small RNA (27 nucleotides) under Bombyx mori (domestic silkworm). RNAcentral's name for it is "ovarian small RNA-25493". The record is from RNAcentral. Lineage: Eukaryota; Metazoa; Arthropoda; Insecta; Lepidoptera; Bombycidae.
UCACUUGCAAGAUGAUGUGCGCGGUCU